This 74-nucleotide transfer RNA is filed under the name compost metagenome. RNAcentral describes it as "tRNA-Gly". It matches the Rfam family "tRNA". Rfam says of the family: Transfer RNA (tRNA) molecules are approximately 80 nucleotides in length. The record is from RNAcentral.
GCGAGUGUGGUUUAGUGGUAGAGCUUCUGCUUCCCAAGCAGAUAGUAUGGGGUCGAUUCCCGUUACCCACUCCA